RNAcentral lists this ribosomal RNA (253 nucleotides) under uncultured bacterium. RNAcentral's name for it is "partial 16S ribosomal RNA". It matches the Rfam family "Bacterial small subunit ribosomal RNA", at positions 526 to 779 of the family's 1533-position model. The record is from RNAcentral.
CGUAGGUGGCGAGCGUUAUCCGGAUUUACUGGGCGUAAAGGGAGCGUAGGCGGAUGAUUAAGUGGGAUGUGAAAUACCCGGGCUCAACUUGGGUGCUGCAUUCCAAACUGGUUAUCUAGAGUGCAGGAGAGGAGAGUGGAAUUCCUAGUGUAGCGGUGAAAUGCGUAGAGAUUAGGAAGAACACCAGUGGCGAAGGCGACUCUCUGGACUGUAACUGACGCUGAGGCUCGAAAGCGUGGGAGCAAACAGGAUU